UUUCACCCAAAGAUGCGCAACUAAACUAUUACAAUGUUUAAUGGAGGACUUGGAAUUGCUUGGAAAUAAUUUUCCCAAGUCACACAAGUUUCAAAAAGGAAAAACAAUUAACAACAAAGGUUUCGUGAUACUAAGCCAAUAGUACAAGUAAAAGUGUUUGCAAAUAAACAACCAAGUGUGGCUGAUGUUUCAUAUUGCUGGAAUGCCAAAUUUUUUGGUAUGUUUUGCUACUGAAAAAAGGGCUGGAACAACAAUGUUCAAGUUCUCUUGGAGUCCAAGCUUGUGGCAACUUUAACAAGUCUUCCACUCCUUAAGAUGCUACCCCUUUGGAGAAACAAUCUAGAUAGUUAAAACUGCACCAUAAUGUCACAACAAGCCAAACAAACCAGUAAACACAGUUAGCACAAAACACGUUACUACAUCAGUUUUUCUUUCCAAACCAGGUUGCACUUUGGCAUUUUAGCAAACAGGUUGUGUACAAAAUUUCCAAACAAUGUAAAUCAAGAAAUUAAGGGCUGGAAAGGCAGGAUGGCACACAAAAGGAACAUAUGAUAUGCUUUAGAGUAGAUCAAUAAAACAAUUAAACGAAAACAAGCUGCAAUGGUGUCGAAAUCGAACUCAAUACAAAGUGGACAAAUCUGUUUGACAAAAUGCCCCAAAGGGAAACCAGAUUUGUGUCUAAAAAUUUCUGAUGUUGCUGAUGCAGAUUUGUUUAAAAUGGAUUGUACUGGUCUAGUUGAUUUUUAAAAAUGUGGUUAAUGAUAUUUUGAGGUAUAAUGCAAUAUUUGUGGUACCAAGUUAUUUCUACAAUCCAUACACAAUUGUGAAAUGCACAAAUCAAAUUCAAAACUUUUGCAGCAGCUGAUUUCUAGAGAAAAUAGGCUUAAAAUGGCUUAUUUGAGAGGCAUUUUUGUACAGAGAAAUUUAGACACCUAAUUUGAUGGUUGGAGCAACUUUGUAUCAAUAAUUUGAAGGUGUUCAAACAGUCAAACAGCCAAGAAACACACUAUAGCAGAAAUUGACUAGUUCACUUCCAAAUUAAAGCAAAUUUGAUGGUUUAGGAAGUGAUUUUGCACAUCGACUUAAAAUGGACCAAAUGAACAGUGCAUACAUGUUUCAAAUGGUAAAAUACAAUUACACAAAUGUUCACAAUGCACUGAAAUGAACAGAUUUGACAAAACACCUCUACUGUAGCCAAUUAUGCAACACUUUUUACACAAAAUUUGCACUAGAACAAGGGUGACAAUAGUAACUACAGUAGUCAAAAUGAAUUGCAGUGUACUCAAGGCUUAAAGGAUACUUCAAACAGGUUUAUAUUAUCAAAUGGAAUGUGUGCAAACUGUGAAACAAUGAAGACAAAGUCCAGUUCAAAAUUUCACUGGUUCACUUCCCAAAUUUGACAAAAGUUGGCUGUUUCAAAUGUGAAGUUGCACCAAACGCCGAAAAAUUACAAAUUCAACAGUUCACACAAGUUUGUACUGAGCAGAUACACUUAUACAAAUGUUCAAAUAGUACAAAUAGACACAAAUUUCCCAAAUGACAAUAGCAAUUGCUUAAAAUGUAUAAAAAUAAAGUUAAAUUACAGUAGAAUGAAAAUUUCAGUAGAGUCAAUGUUGGCUAGUUCAAUCAAAUGCAGAGGAAUUAUCCUAAUCAACUAGAUCUAGUUGCAGAUGAUCAACUAGGAGAUAUUAAGUGACCUCAGAUUCAACAAUGACAAAAGCACGGUGCAAAACUUGUGGACAACGUUUGACAAUUUCUGAAAACUUGAAAGUAAUCAACUCAAUCAUUCAUUUGGCAAAUUUGUGAUUCAUAUGAGUUAUGAUACUUCUAGCAAUGCUUAACAACACUAAAGAAACUUGUUCAAAGCUUUAAAAUCCAGAAAUCUGAACAGAAACAGAUUAUAGCAAAUCAAACUAGAAAAUGAUUAUUCUGCAAAAUUUGGAUUGGAAAAAUCAAUGUGCACUGGUGUAAGCUCAAAUGAUCAAAGUUGGACAUGAUGUCAUUGCUUAUACGAUCAACAUAUAGCUUGCAACAAACUGGACACACUUAAAAACUGAAAAAUUAAAGUUGGAGUGGAUUGAAACCAGUGAAACACGACAAUCACUUGCACAUGAUCGAACAAAAUUGGAAAAUGAAAAUUAAAAGCUUAAAUGACGAAAACCAAUGAACUGCACCGAUUAAAAUAAUAAAGAAACAGUAAGGAACAGUGAAAGAAAGCAAUUAUCCACUCAAACACAAAAUCAAACCAGGAAAUGUAAUGGAACAGUGAAAACAAUGAACAAAACAACACGAAAGAAAGAAAAAUUGAAAGAAAUAAUACUUAGCUCUUGAAGCAUGGUGUGGAUUCAACUGGCUCUAGAUGUCAAAUGAUGGAAGCGACCUCCACCUUCAAGAAUGGAGUGGCUCCUUGAUUCAGAAGUGGCAGCGGAAUGAAGAAUGGAUUGGAGAUGUUCUGUGAUUGCAAGGUGUUUGUGGUAAUGUGUGACUAUGUUUGGAUGUGGUGUGAAGUGAAGUUCUAACUCAGAAAGCUUUCCUAAGGGGAAAUGAGCUAGAGGGAGAGCAAGCUAAAGAGGCUCUAAGUUUGAACUCGAGAGAAUGGAUGGAUUUUGGCAGCAUUUCAUUAUCAUACUCAAGUUAUUUAUACAAGAGAUCAAGCUUCUUUUUUAUAGAUGGAGAAGAGUAAUGAGUCGUGUAGAGGAAGCUACGGGAAUGUGCAAAUACAUGUGUUGAAAAUGCAUAUCCCACGUGGAUUUCAAGCUCUAUGCCAAACACUUUUAUCACGUGUUUAAUGAGUUAAAUGCUGACUUUGAUAUGGCUAAGCGAAGAAGGGUUUUGGUUGGGCACCCUUCUUUUCCUUUGAUAUUUCAAGGCAUCUUUUCAUUCAUCUUUAGCAUUCUUGUUGAAUUCUGUGUGCCUUCCUUUGCUUGGCCAUCUUUGGCAAGGUUUUCCUCCUUUAUUUGGUGAUCUACAAAACAAAAUAAAUGUAUCUUAGGUAAAG
This 2998-nucleotide long non-coding RNA is filed under the name Vigna radiata. RNAcentral describes it as "long non-coding RNA (VRAD_LNC009954)". Lineage: Eukaryota; Viridiplantae; Streptophyta; Magnoliopsida; Fabales; Fabaceae. The record is from RNAcentral.